CUGCUUGACAGAUGCCUGCAAAAUUCCAUCACACCUUUGUGUGGACCUGUUUGGGUCUUUAAGAGAGAAGGUUUCAGCCUCUCAGGAGCAAAGAUUUGUAUCCAAGGAGUUCUAUUGGCCCUGCACCAACGAUUAAAGUCUGCAAACUGUUGCAAACAGGUAUAUGAAGAUGACAAAGGCACAUGGGAAGUACUUCUUUAUUAAUGAAAAAUAACAGGGAAUUUACUCUGAGAAUCAAUCCAGAGUUGUUAUGAAAAGAGUCAAUUUUCUGCUUGUAUUCAUUGCAUGGCUGCCAAAUGCUUUCUUCUGGCACAGAAGCAGCGAUGGCAUGGGGUCGGGCAGAAAAGGUGAAAAGUGAGAGAGAGAGAAACCAGAAUCACUUGUCUUGGCUUACCCUGAGUUUGUCCUGACCUACCUAGAGGAACUAAAUGAAAGAGAGGAGGUGACCCAGACAGAAAACCGCAUUCACCAUGGGGCCUGGUCUGCAGCUCAUCAGGAGAUAGACAGCAGCUCAGCAGAAGAGGUCACAGUAUUAAGCCAGAGGCAGGUUCUGCAAAAAAAUGUCAGCAACCCCAAUCAGAAACAACUUUCAGGACCUUUGGACGCCCAUUUAAUGCCUGCAGAUCCCCUAGGGGAGACUACACAGCUGACAGUGGCACUGGUGAGGAAACUAGAAGAGAAACAUCCUAAGGCCUCAGCUCAAAGAUGGCCAUGAGGGGAGAAGCAUGAAGGGACAACGACAUCUGGCCAGUGGAUACAUACCAAAGCAGAGUAUCCCUUGUGGAACAAGUUAACUUGGCAAUCACAGCAGCGUUAAGGAGGUAGAAGCAAGUGUUUGAGAAUGGACAGAAAUGUUGCCACACCAUGUCUUACCAGAAAUCUUCUGGCAGCUAGUUGUAGAAGUACAAGGCAAGUACAGCUGGAGCCAGGCUUUCCAUGGACGGAGGUUCUACUUUUGAAGAAGAAAAAAUUGAAUAAGGAGCUGGAGGAGGAAACAGAAGAAUCAUUAUUUGUUCUUCUGUAUUGCAGAUUCUAAACUGUUUCCACAACAGUCACCUCAGGCCAUUUGUUUCAUUAUAGCAUCAAGAGAUGAAAUCUACAGCAGCAGCAUGACAGGAGAUACAUUAAAUCAGUCAGUGGACCCAUGAAGAGAGAAACUCCAUCUUUCUGCAGUAAUAGCAGAAAUUCAAAGUAGGUUUCUUGAACAGAGAAAGGUGUCUGACUCCAAUAGCAGCAUUCCCUCUGCAUCUCCUGUAAAUCAAAACAAGUCCACAAUACUGAAGGAUGUCCAUAUUUUCAAGUUCUUCUAUACUUUCUGAUACACUAACUUUUCAUUGUAGCUCAACCUGUGCAACCAUUUUGCAUGAAAACUAAAAUCCAAAGAAAACUCAGCAGAGUGCACCUGUUUAAAUACUUAUUUAUUAAUUUUAAUAAGAAAAUGGUUUUGCUUUCCUGAACCCCUUUUGAUUCUUACCCUCUCAAAAAUAGAACCACAUGGUCUUUCAUUUUUCUUUUGUAGGAUCCAACAUCCUUUUGUCUUCAUAUCAAAUCUUUUGGUUUUCAGAGAUAAUGCCUAUGGAUGUUAUUACCAAAAUACUUAGUUUUGAGCUGGCUGCAACAGUAUGUGUUGUAUGAACUGUAUUGCUGCAGAAUUGCUGCUGCAAUUACACUGUAGAUGCAGUUUGUAUUUAGCAAGGCAAGCUUCCAUUGUAUUAUAGAAUCAUAGAAUUGUUUAGGUUGGAAGAGACCUCUAAGAUCCAAACAUUAUACUCACAACCAUUCUGGUGGCUUCUUUUAGAGAAACUGAGUAUGGUUGGGUUGCUCUUACAGUUAAUGUUAGUAAAACUGAAUGUUAAUAGGAAUAUUGGAAUGUACAAAUAACAUUAGUAAAAAUGUAAAACCACUUUCUUGUUCACAUCAUGCAGAAGCAGCUGUAAUCUGUAUGUUAUCAGGAUGUAAAGAAUAAGAACUAACUUCAUUAAAAUAGUUUUUCUCAGGUUAAUAUGGGAAACAAUGCCACCUUCUCAAGCUAUUGAUGAUGCUCCAAAGUAUUCAUUGCUCAGAGUCCGGGUGGGCAUCAGUCUGCUGGUAGGAGGUGACUGAUUUCUUCACUUUGGAAGCUGAAAAUAUGCUGCAUCUUCUACAAGAAGAUCUGUCUUCUUUGUGGAUUGAAACCUUCUCACAAACUGUCUCAGAACAGACCUCUGCAGCUAUGAACCAGAAAGCAGUAAAUACAAUUGCAUAUAGAAAUGGAGCUGGCUGCCAAAACAGGCAAUUCAUAUUGACCGAGGCAUUCCCUUUGGUAGGUAACAAUCCCCAAAGUCAACUGUAAUGACCAGUCACUGCUGCUACCUACUCACUCCUUGUCUAUUUUUCCGCAUUCUUACACAUGGUCUUUAAAAUUUCAUCAACUUAUACUUAAAUCCUUGCAUUAUUGCUAAUAAGCCCACUAAGGAGAAAUAUGCAAUCAGUAUUAAAGGGCUUAACAGCUCAUCCCUCUCAGGAUGUAAAGGCGGCCAAGCUAUGGAACAUUUCAGACAGUUCAGAGAGCUGACCUCAAGGAACUGUGCCUGUGGAGGACUUACCUACUAUCGAGGGUGUGGUGGCUUGGCUUGGUCAGGAAUGGAGGCCACAGAUUCAUUCUGUAAACACUACUAAUUUUAUGGGAUUGUCCUGGAACAGACCCAGUUAUUGCAAAGGUGACUCUCAGUAACUUUAAGCUGUUUCUUGGUGGCUGCGUGUCUCUCAUCCAUAAAGUCCAUCUCCUGAUUCCUUGUCAUAAUCACUGAUUUCAUGGAUUUAAAGAUAAUCUCUUAAGUGGGAACUCCCUGUAAACCAACUCAGGGGUGUCCUGAAUAUUAAGCAACUUCUUAGAAGUAUGAAUUGUCCCAUACUUUCCAACAGAAUAUUUGAAUGCUAGAGAAUCCGUAUGUCAGCUAAGGCAGGGCUAAUCACUGUAACAACCAUGUCAAGCAUGUGUGCUUCUCCCUGUUCAUUCAAUAUGGAGACAGAUAUUGAGCAGAGUAGGAGAAGCAUUAGAACAUCUAGUUCUGAAUGUCUACAAGAUAACAAAACCACAGAAAUUAUCUUCUUUUCAAUGAUAGCCCAUGAUAGUGUUGUGGGCUGUGAAUGAGCAACAGAAACAUUCGGGAGAGGAGUGUGAAGGAAAAGCUAAAAUCCACAAUGCUGCUGAAGGAAGGACUGUAAUGGACAUUGCAGGUAAAAAGACAAUCUUAAAGUCUCAGUUAACUCUUUGUGAAAUUGCAUAUAGGUGGGUUUUCAUACAGCUACAGUAUUUUGUUACAGAGCUAAAAGACGACCCUUUCCGAAUAAAUGCUUACAACUAUCUUUAGAAAUCCUUUACCUUGAUUUUCACUUUCUUACAGAAAAAUUAACGCUAUUAGAAAAAAUAUUAACAUUGAAUAAACAUGCUGUUUGGUUUUGUAUUUUAAUAGGCUUUUUUUAGUUUAAUCUUAACUCAAAAGAAUAGCGCUUUUGGACUAAGAAUGAAUUGCACUACAUAUAGGUAUUACUUUGAAAUGUUUGUGAAAAGUUAAAGGGAAUACACCUAUAAGGCCAGAAUUCUACACCAUCCAGAGCAAUGAUGUGCCUAAUUUGAGAGCAUAAUUCAUGUCAUUGUAUGUACAAAUUAUACUAGUUGCUGCCUAACUGACCAUUACUUUUAAAAAUUUUUAAUCUAUGUACACAACUGCAGUCAUUGUGCAGGUUAAUUAAAUGCUAUCGAAAAUCAGACUUGGUGUAAAGGUUAUGUUAAAUAAAUAUCAGAAUACUUAAAAAUUAUUAAUUGAUCAGUAUUGCAUGCAAGAUGAUAUACAUUUCAGAGUAAGAUUCUGAAGUAUUUUUAUGAUAUUACUGUUAAUAAUUUUUAUUGCUUACUUGAUACAUCUGUGAGUAUGUAAAGACUGAUUGUUCUUAAUACCUUUAAAAUAAUUAGAAGAAAAAAAAGGUUAUUGGGAUCAUGAAUCCAUUUUAUAUACUAGUCAAUCAAGAGAGUAAGAAAGGAGAAAUAAAGACUUGAGAUUAGCUCAAAGAUAAAACAAACAUUAAAAAUGUAAAGGAAUUAUGUGUUAAAUUUACAAUUAUAUUUUUAUAACAUUAAUUAUUAGAUGGAUGUCAGUCAUGUAAAUUUAGGUCAGAUCAAAAUUACAACCAUCCCAAAAUAUCAUUGAGUUUAUUGAAGGUUUUAAAGUUGAAGUCAUGCAACCGGUGCCAGGAAUUAGAUACCACAAACAGGUGGCUCAGAAGUCAGCAACUUGCUCCCUGCUUCACACAAUACCAAUUAAUUCAUUAAUUACACUUAAGGCAACAUGGACAGGCAGUAUUGGAGAGGAGAGACCAGAAAUGAAGUUUCUCCAUCUUUGCUAAAUACAUAACUACUAUGCACAAGAAGAAUAGUCCUUUUUGAAUUUUGUCUGUUUGUCCUUAUUAGUUUUAAAUGUGUAAUGACCUGUUUUCACAGAGGGUGAUGAGAUUUCUGACCAACUGUGCUCUAGUUUGUAUUAUAAGAGGUUCCUGAGAGUAGGACAACCAGAAUCAGGCCCACUGACUCCUUCAACUACUCUUUUAACAGCUAAGCUACACGUAAUAAUAGAGGAUGCAAACCACCUACCCUGUUUUUGAAUAAAAGUAGCGUGGCUGAUUUCUCUCGUGCUCCACUCUGCUGUCCAUUCCUAAAAAGCCUGCUCAGAUGCACAUAACUAGGACCUGCUAGGUUUGACCUGGAGAUUAGAUAUUAUCUCAGGACUGAAGAAAGUUGAAGGGGAAGUUACUUCCAUGCACAUAUUGAAGCCUAAUUGUAGGGACUUGGGGAAAAAAAAUCACUCUAAGAGACACAAACUGAAUUAAAUCGAGGACCUACAAAGUGAAGUACACAGUGAAAAGUAUGUCACUUUCUGGUUUAUGGGUGACUUCCUUGAUUUUCAGUGCCUUCUGUCUUCAAUCCCUUUUUCAUGCACCAAAACAAAUAUCUUGAUAUUGUCCACUGUUUCUGUUGAAGUGCAGUGGCAGCUGCACACCUGAAUUCCUCCUGUUACUCUGAAAAUCACCAAAAGUUAUUUUUUAACCCACCACGCAUUUUCUGCUUCAUAAUGAUUAGAUCUAUGCCUACCUUAUUGAUAUUUUUUUUUCCCUUUUCCUCAUUUCUUCUUCUAGUUCAUAACCAAUAUUCAUUCCUCCUAUGUCCAUCUUUAGGCAGCCUUUACCUUGCUGCAGCUGUAUUCUUACCCUCAGAUAAUCAACACUGUUUACCUCUCUUGUAAAAAUGAUAAAGUUCAAUAAAAAGUUAUAAUAAAGAAAUGAUUGCGUGGUAGUUAUCACUCUGUAGAUACAACUAGUAACAGUAGGGAUUCCUGACACACCAUCCUUUCUUCAAAAACUGCCAGUGUCACUUCUUUUUUAUGCUUUUGCUAGCAAAACUGAAUCAAUGGGCUAAGAAUGCAUACACUUCAGCUAACUUGAAUGAGCAGCAUAAACGCUAGCAUGCUGCUUGGAGAAUUAAUAGAUGGGAAAGAAGAUAAAACAGAUAAAUCUUUUUCGCAAAGCUAUGAUAUGGAAAGAAUUGUGAUUUACUGUAUCAAAAAUAAAUUCAAAAAAAUCUAGAAAGGGAAAGCCAAAAAAAUGAGGAAAAGAAACGCUUUAAAAACUGGGGGAAAAAAUCUCUCUUUUUAAUUUUAGAGUGUUGAAAAGUUUGCCUGGCAUUGAUGUGCUAUAUAAAAUGAAUGUAAACCCUACUCAGUACUACUUCAAACAAAAAUGGCAGUGCAAUUUUCAAAUUGUGAAUUUAACAUCUUGCAUGCUUUGAGUGGUUUUAAGUGUUAUUCUGUGUAUUAACAGGAGACAGAUCCUCUAGAUGAUAAAAGCACAUGUGCAGUGUAUUAUUCCACCCUUUUGGGAGCAGGAAAAAUUUUUUUGCUUGUGUUUCAAAUGCAAAUUUUCUCACUUCCUAAAGGAACUUUUGAGACUCCUUAAUAUUGCAUAUUAUUAAAUUUUGAAUGCUAGGUAAUUUUAAAAUGAAUUGCUUAACUAGACACAAAUUCCUGUA
Long non-coding RNA from Harpia harpyja (harpy eagle), 6061 nucleotides. RefSeq lists it as uncharacterized. The record is from RefSeq and is a predicted model, not a curated record. The transcript has 11 exons. Lineage: Eukaryota; Metazoa; Chordata; Aves; Accipitriformes; Accipitridae.